ACACGACUACAUUAGAUACCCCCGUAGUCCUAGGCGUAAAUGAUGCGAGUUAAGUGUGGGGGCAUCUACGAGAUGGCCCUGUGCUGUAGGGUAGCCGUUAAACUCGCUGCCUGGGAAGUACGGUCGCAAGGCUGAAACUUAAAGGAAUUGGCGGGGAGCACCACAACGGGUGGAGCCUGCGGUUUAAUUGGACUCAACGCCGGAAAUCUCACCGGAUAGGACAGACAUAUGAUAGUCGGGCUGAAGACUCUACUUGAUGAUCUG
RNAcentral lists this ribosomal RNA (264 nucleotides) under uncultured archaeon. RNAcentral's name for it is "partial 16S ribosomal RNA". It matches the Rfam family "Archaeal small subunit ribosomal RNA", at positions 717 to 982 of the family's 1478-position model. The record is from RNAcentral.